GCGCUCGCUUCGGCAGCACGUUAGUAAGACUGGAACAUACAGAGGAAAUUAACGCGGCUCCUGCAGAAGGACGACACACAAAUUCCUGAAGUGUUUUU
This 98-nucleotide small nuclear RNA is filed under the name Ovis aries (sheep). The record is from RNAcentral. Lineage: Eukaryota; Metazoa; Chordata; Mammalia; Artiodactyla; Bovidae.